CCCAACUAUCCCUAUUAAUCAUUACGGUAAUUCCAGCUCCAAUAGCGUAUAUUAAAGUUGUUGCAGUUAAAAAGCUCGUAGUUGAACUUCGGGGUCUACCCAUUGGUCAGGCUUAAUUGUCUGCACUGGUAGGAUGGAUCUCUACCUUCUGAGGAACUUUCAUGCCAUUUAUUUGGUGUGAUGGGAAAUCAGGACUGUUACUUUGAAAAAAUUAGAGUGUUUAAAGCAGACUAUCGUCUGAAUACAUUAGCAUGGAAUAAUGAAAUAGGACGGACUGAUUCUAUUUCGUUGGUUUCUAGGAUCACCGUAAUGAUUAAUAGGGAUAGUUGGGUAGUACCCGAGG
Molecule: unclassified non-coding RNA, 343 nt
Filed under: uncultured Diversisporales
Lineage: Eukaryota; Fungi; Glomeromycota; Glomeromycetes; Diversisporales
Description: bacterial SSU rRNA
Rfam family: Eukaryotic small subunit ribosomal RNA
Source: RNAcentral